RNAcentral lists this long non-coding RNA (328 nucleotides) under Elaeis guineensis (African oil palm). Its description in RNAcentral is "long non-coding RNA (EGUI_LNC060405)". Lineage: Eukaryota; Viridiplantae; Streptophyta; Magnoliopsida; Arecales; Arecaceae. The record is from RNAcentral.
UUCCUCGAUAGUCCUGAUCUAAAAUAUUUUUAGUCAUUGGUAUAUUGAAUCAGAGAUUAAUGAUACCGAUAAGACUGGCAUGUCCUAUGUAUGCUCAGAAAUGAGGAUGGUUGAUCUCACAACCACUUGUGUCGUGACACUAAUAUAAGGAUAUAGAUGCUCAUUAGAGAAUGAGUUCACUGAACUGACCUAUGUGAGAAUAUCAGAUGGAGUCUUAUUUACUUGUCAACUGAUGAUUCUCUAAUUAGAGUUGUGUAAGUGAUUCUUAGACCUGAGGUCACCAUGGUACCUUGUGUAUAUGGAUCCAUAUUUUGGUUCACUAUCUAGC